RNAcentral lists this transfer RNA (89 nucleotides) under Pseudomonas sp. PDM21. Its description in RNAcentral is "tRNA-Ser". The record is from RNAcentral. RNAcentral also lists the same sequence under 1 other name. Lineage: Bacteria; Pseudomonadati; Pseudomonadota; Gammaproteobacteria; Pseudomonadales; Pseudomonadaceae.
GGGGAUAUGGCGUGUAGACUGGCAUGCCGAAGUGACUGGCAUGCAUGGGGUGCAAGGGGUCGAGUGUUCGAAUCACUCCGUCCCGACCA